Molecule: ribosomal RNA, 253 nt
Filed under: uncultured bacterium
Lineage: Bacteria
Description: partial 16S ribosomal RNA
Rfam family: Bacterial small subunit ribosomal RNA
Source: RNAcentral
UACGGGGGGAGCAAGCGUUGUUCGGAUUUACUGGGCGUAAAGGGCGCGUAGGCGGCGCAACAAGUCACUUGUGAAAUCUCCGGGCUUAACUCGGAGCGGCCAAGUGAUACUGUCGUGCUAGAGUGCGGAAGGGGCAACUGGAAUUCUCGGUGUAGCGGUGAAAUGCGUAGAUAUCGAGAGGAACACCUGCGGCGAAGGCGGGUUGCUGGGCCGACACUGACGCUGAGGCGCGAAAGCGUGGGGAGCGGACAGG